GCAUAUCAAUAAGCGGAGGAAAAGAAACCAACAGGGAUUGCCUUAGUAACGGCGAGUGAAGCGGCAAAAGCUCAAAUUUGAAAUCGGCCAUCAGGUCGAGUUGUAAUUUGUAGAUUGUACUUUGAGAGCGGAUUAAAGUCUGUUGGAACACAGCGCCUUAGAGGGUGACAGCCCCGUAAAAUCUAUUCUCAUUGUAAGGUACUUUCGAAGAGUCGAGUUGUUUGGGAAUGCAGCUCUAAGUGGGAGGUAAAUUCCUUCUAAAGCUAAAUAUUGACGAGAGACCGAUAGCGAACAAGUACUGUGAAGGAAAGAUGAAAAGCACUUUGAAAAGAGAGUGAAAAAGUACGUGAAAUUGUUAAAAGGGAAGGGUAUUGAAUCAGACGUGGUGCUGUUGUUCAACUUUGUUUCGGCAUGGUGUACUCAGCAGUACUAGGCCAAGGUGGGGUGUUUGGGAGUGAAAAAGGAAUAGGAACGUAGCUCUUCGGAGUGUUAUAAUCUAUUUUCAUAGCUCCUCAGGCGCCUCAGGACUGCGCUUCGGCAAGGACUUUGGCAUAAUGAUUCUAUACCGCCCGUCUUGAAACACGGACC
Molecule: ribosomal RNA, 588 nt
Filed under: uncultured fungus
Lineage: Eukaryota; Fungi
Description: eukaryotic LSU rRNA
Rfam family: Eukaryotic large subunit ribosomal RNA
Source: RNAcentral